UUCCACGCCGUAAACGAUGAUGGCUAACCGCCGGCGACACACUGUCGGUGGCCAAGCGAAGCGAUAAGCCAUCCACCUGGGAGUACGUCGGCAACGAUGAAACUCAAAGGAAUUGACGGGGCCCGCACAAGCGGAGGAACAUGUGGUUUAAUUCGAUGAUACGCGAGGAACCUUACCCGGGCUCGAACGGCACCUGGAUCAUCCAGAGAUGGUUGAGUCUUCGGACAGGUGUCGAGGUGCUGCAUGGUUGUCGU
This 254-nucleotide ribosomal RNA is filed under the name uncultured bacterium. Its description in RNAcentral is "partial 16S ribosomal RNA". It matches the Rfam family "Bacterial small subunit ribosomal RNA", at positions 793 to 1055 of the family's 1533-position model. The record is from RNAcentral.